GCGCCCGUAGCUCAGUAGGACAGAGCGGCCGCUUCCUAAGCGGCAGGCCGCAGGUUCGAGUCCUGCCGGGCGCA
Molecule: transfer RNA, 74 nt
Filed under: Deinococcota bacterium
Lineage: Bacteria; Thermotogati; Deinococcota
Also listed under: 5 other names
Description: tRNA-Arg
Rfam family: tRNA
About the family: Transfer RNA (tRNA) molecules are approximately 80 nucleotides in length. Their secondary structure includes four short double-helical elements and three loops (D, anti-codon, and T loops).
Source: RNAcentral